CUUCCCGUCUGACUACUGCAGUUUCUCCUAAGAAUAGAUUUUAGUGGCUAGGCUUACGGGAUAAAGCAAAAAUUGCUGUGAUAUGAAAAGGGAGGAUUUAUUUGUGUCCUCCUUCUCUGUGAAAUGACUUAUAAGAAAAAU
This is a small nucleolar RNA of Sorex fumeus (smoky shrew), 141 nucleotides long. RefSeq annotates it as small nucleolar RNA SNORA29. The record is from RefSeq and is a predicted model, not a curated record. Lineage: Eukaryota; Metazoa; Chordata; Mammalia; Eulipotyphla; Soricidae. The transcript has a single exon.